RNAcentral lists this non-coding RNA (27 nucleotides) under Macaca fascicularis (crab-eating macaque). The record is from RNAcentral. Lineage: Eukaryota; Metazoa; Chordata; Mammalia; Primates; Cercopithecidae. RNAcentral also lists the same sequence under 1 other name.
UGGGUUGGCUGGUAAAGACAGGGGUAC